UACGGAGGAUGCAAGCGUUAUCCGGAAUCAUUGGGCGUAAAGCGUCCGUAGGUGGCUUUUCAAGUCUGCCGUCAAGGACCGGGGCUUAACCCCAGAAAGGCGGUGGAAACUGAAUAGCUAGAGUGCAGUAGGGGUAGAGGGAAUUCCCGGUGUAGCGGUGAAAUGCGUAGAGAUCGGGAAGAAUACCCGUGGCGAAAGCGCUCUACUGGACUGCAACUGACACUCAGGGACGAAAGCUAGGGGAGCGAAUGGG
RNAcentral lists this ribosomal RNA (253 nucleotides) under uncultured bacterium. RNAcentral's name for it is "partial 16S ribosomal RNA". It matches the Rfam family "Bacterial small subunit ribosomal RNA", at positions 524 to 776 of the family's 1533-position model. The record is from RNAcentral.